This 228-nucleotide non-coding RNA is filed under the name Bacillus sp. (in: firmicutes). RNAcentral describes it as "Bacillus sp. T-box sequence". It matches the Rfam family "T-box leader". From Rfam's summary of the family: Uncharged tRNA acts as the effector for transcription antitermination of genes in the T-box leader family. T-boxes are found upstream of many aminoacyl-tRNA synthetase genes and some amino acid biosynthetic genes usually in Gram-positive bacteria. Lineage: Bacteria; Bacillati; Bacillota; Bacilli; Caryophanales; Bacillaceae. The record is from RNAcentral.
AAUAAUCCAUAGACGGAGAAAAGUAGGAUAGGAUCUCUUGUAGAGAGAGGAAGUGCCGUGGCUGAGAGCAUUUCCACAAGUAGACUAUUUGAAAGACACUCCCGAGGCUUUAUUCUGAACGAUUUCUAGUAAGGAUAAACGUAAUCGGCGUUAACGAUGAAAGUGGGAGAACAGUUUAUUGUUCUUCAAUUAGGGUGGCACCACGGGCUUAUAACUCUCGUCCCUACU